GUUGAUAUGUAUAAAGACCAUGGAAUAUUUUUGACGUUAUUAAUAUUUGACAAAUGUAAAAUAACCGUAUUUAGAUUCUAAAAUCAAAAAGGUCAAUGAUGUUUUCAGAUUAUAUUUAUCGAAGCAAAAAGGUUUAUCGAAUGAAAAGAAUUAACUCGCCUUUGAAAAGAUGUGUAAGAAAGGAGAUAUCUCAAGAGUGAUAACAUGAUAAGAAAAC
Molecule: unclassified non-coding RNA, 217 nt
Filed under: Melitaea cinxia (Glanville fritillary)
Lineage: Eukaryota; Metazoa; Arthropoda; Insecta; Lepidoptera; Nymphalidae
Description: misc RNA ENSMCXG00005011451.1
Source: RNAcentral